This 241-nucleotide unclassified non-coding RNA is filed under the name Hymenoscyphus sp. Its description in RNAcentral is "partial contains 5.8S ribosomal RNA, internal transcribed spacer 2, and large subunit ribosomal RNA". Lineage: Eukaryota; Fungi; Ascomycota; Leotiomycetes; Helotiales; Helotiaceae. RNAcentral also lists the same sequence under 3 other names. The record is from RNAcentral.
AACGCACAUUGCGCCCCUUGGUAUUCCGGGGGGCAUGCCUGUUCGAGCGUCAUUUAGACCAACUCCCGCUCCGGCGGGGUCUUGGGCUGCGCCUUUGGGCGGGCCUUAAAACCAGUGGCGGUGCCCUAAGGCUCUACGCGUAGUAAUUCUUCUCGCGAUAGGGUCCUUGCGGUGUCUUGCCAGCAACCCCCAACUCUCUAGGGUUGACCUCGGAUCAGGUAGGGAUACCCGCUGAACUUAA